RNAcentral lists this ribosomal RNA (506 nucleotides) under uncultured bacterium. RNAcentral's name for it is "partial 16S ribosomal RNA". It matches the Rfam family "Bacterial small subunit ribosomal RNA", at positions 29 to 523 of the family's 1533-position model. The record is from RNAcentral.
AUUGAACGCUGGCGGCAGGCCUAACACAUGCAAGUCGAGCGGCAGCGGAAAGUAGCUUGCUACUUUGCCGGCGAGCGGCGGACGGGUGAGUAAUGUCUGGGGAUCUGCCUGAUGGAGGGGGAUAACUACUGGAAACGGUAGCUAAUACCGCAUAACGUCGCAAGACCAAAGUGGGGGACCUUCGGGCCUCACGCCAUCGGAUGAACCAAGAUGGGAUUAGCUAGUAGGUGGGGUAAUGGCUCACAUAGGGGACGAUCCCUAGCUGGUCUGAGAGAAAGGCCAGCCACACUGGGACUGAGACACGGCCCAGACUCCUACGGGAGGCAGCAGUGGGGAAUAUUGCAAAAGGGGCGAGAGCCUGAUGCAGCCAUGCCGCGUGUGUGAAGAAGGCCUUCGGGUUGUAAAGCACUUUCGGCGAGGAGGAAGGGUGGUGUGUUAAUAGCACACGACAUUGCCGUUACUCGCAGAAGAAGCACCGGCUAACUCCGUGCCAGCCGCCGCGGUAA